RNAcentral lists this ribosomal RNA (253 nucleotides) under uncultured bacterium. RNAcentral describes it as "partial 16S ribosomal RNA". It matches the Rfam family "Bacterial small subunit ribosomal RNA", at positions 524 to 776 of the family's 1533-position model. The record is from RNAcentral.
UACGUAGGGGGCAAGCGUUGUCCGGAUUCAUUGGGCGUAAAGAGCGUGUAGGCGGCCCGGUAAGUCCGCUGUAAAAGUCAAAGGCUCAACCUUUGAAAGCCGAUGGAUACUGUGAGGCUAGAGUCCGGAAGAGGCGAGUGGAAUUCCUGGUGUAGCGGUGGAAUGCGCAGAUAUCAGGAAGAACACCAAUGGCGAAAGCAGCUCUCUGGGACGGUACUGACGCUGAGACGCGAAAGCGUGGGGAGCGAACAGG